GACGAACGCUGGCGGCGUGCUUAACACAUGCAAGUCGAACGGAAAGGCCCUGCUUGUGUGGGGUGCUCGAAUGGCGAACGGGUGAGGAAGACGUGAGUAACCUGCCCUUGACUUUGGGAUAACGUCAGGAAACGGGGGCUAAUGCCGGAUAGGAACUCCUGCUGCAUGGUGGGGGAUGGAAAGUUUCGGCGGUGGGGGAUGGACUCGCGGCUUAUCAGCUUGUUGGUGGGGCAGUGGCUUACCAAGGCUUUGACGGGUAGCCGGCCUGAGAGGGUGACCGGCCACAUUGGGACUGAGAUACGACCCAGAGUGCUACGGGAGGAAGCAGUGGGGAAUAUUGCACAAUGGGCGGAAGCAUGAUGCAGCACCGCCGCGUGCGGGAUGACGGCCUUAGGGUUGUAAACAGCUUUCGCCUGUGACGAAGCGUGAGUGACGGUAAUGGGUAAAGAAGCACCGGCUAACUACGUG
This 468-nucleotide ribosomal RNA is filed under the name uncultured bacterium. RNAcentral describes it as "partial 16S ribosomal RNA". It matches the Rfam family "Bacterial small subunit ribosomal RNA", at positions 28 to 507 of the family's 1533-position model. The record is from RNAcentral.